RNAcentral lists this long non-coding RNA (1259 nucleotides) under Mus caroli (Ryukyu mouse). RNAcentral's name for it is "lncRNA (MGP_CAROLIEiJ_G0005390.1)". Lineage: Eukaryota; Metazoa; Chordata; Mammalia; Rodentia; Muridae. The record is from RNAcentral.
GAAACCUACUCCCUCCAACUGUAUUAUGUACUCUGCAGUGAUAAGGCCAUUACAUUAUGCGGUACCUUUAGUGUUUGUUGCCUGGAAAAAUCCAAGUCCAUCCAAAGUGUUACGCAGACAUGGGCUUUCUUGAAGUACAAAGAUUGAGACUAAGCUAGAAAGCAAGAAGUGCUCUCAGAAAACUGCUUUUGCUGGCUAUUUCUUUUCCCUAGCCUGAGCACAUGGAAGGGUUAUUCCCGAGGGAAUGGGAGAGCAGUUUCUUUGAAGAAACCGAAGAAGUAUCCUGCCCAACUUUGAACACUAGAGGACUUUUGCCCUGCGAAUGCUUUAAUUUCUGAGGGACUAGUGAGAUAGAUCCUGCCUAAAGGACCUGACACUAGGAUAAAUGGGCAGAAGCUUGAUUUUAGGUGUGGUUCUUCAGAGGCAAAAAGGAAACCUGAGGUAGAGAGAUUCUGUGCCUCUUUGCAAAAACUGAAGGCUGGAAGUUGCUUGCUGAGGGCGUUCCUUAAAGCCAAGUCUUUUAGUGCAGAUGGACGAGGGCAAGCGUCACAAUAUCUACAGCAGCAUGCAAUGUGACCUGAGAAAGAGAACGCCGUCACUGUAACCUCUUAGAGGAAUGUAACCUUGCUCAGAUUCCCUCUUACUCUCAAUUAACUGUCAAGCAUAAUUAAGUGUAAAGGUCUAUUGCUAGGAAGAACAAGGCCACUCCUGUCUCACUCCCUCUCAACAUCACUGAUGGAAGCAAUAAAAGGCAAACCAGCAGGAGCUGAAGCCCAGCCUUAAGGUGUCCGGCAAUUCAGAAAACAUUACAGUGUUAUCAAUGGACAAUAUACAUGCUACUGAGUGAGUGUCGACUCCUGGACAGAGGUGAAUGUUGAUUUUGUUUUGUUUUUAAAUUCAGAAUUAUUUAGGGAAGAUAACGUGUGACAGAAAAUGGGACAUCCUGAAGCCGGCAGAUAUAGAUUGAGCAACAAAGAUUUGAGCCUCAUGGAUAGGCGACUUUGCAAUAUAUUUAUUUAUAUAUUUAUACCAUAAGUUAUCCAUAUGUGAGUGAGACUAACUGUAUUGUAAAUCAUUUGAGUGUAUACCUUGGUUCCAUGUACAGAAGGAUGUUACAUGCCUGUGUAGCAUGUUUGUCAAGAGGAAGAAUAUAAUACAGAUACUAGUGUAAACACGUGUCUUAGAAUAGACUCAUGAAAUAAGAAUGUUUUUAACGCCUUGGUCAAAUUUAACAAAAACAAAUAUUAAAAUGUUGAAAG